GGAGCAGUUGAUAGCUCGCUGGUAGUGUGCAUGCUUUGUGAGUACGACGUCCUGGGUUUAAACCCCAGCUGCUCCC
This is a non-coding RNA of Dallia pectoralis (Alaska blackfish), 76 nucleotides long. NCBI's taxonomy places the organism in Eukaryota, Metazoa, Chordata, Actinopteri, Esociformes, Umbridae. The record is from the annotation of a GenBank genome assembly.